AUAUAUCUGGAAUCUUGCCCACUCUUCUCCCAAGCUAUCUGUCCACUAAAGAUAUGUUUCUAGUUGCCCUGGCAACCAACAAUUGGGCGUAGUUAACUAUUUACAGUUUCCAAAGUGAUUACAAAUGGGUCUCACCUAGCCUCGCCCAUUACCUGUUGGCACUGGAAUGCCCUCUUCAGUCUUGGGAAAGAAGUGACAAAGAGAGAUUCGAAGAAUAUUUGCAGGGGAACAGGACUCCAUCUGACUAAGAAGCCGUGUGCAGCAAGGUGUCUGUAA
This 276-nucleotide long non-coding RNA is filed under the name Sarcophilus harrisii (Tasmanian devil). RNAcentral describes it as "lncRNA (ENSSHAG00000028347.1)". Lineage: Eukaryota; Metazoa; Chordata; Mammalia; Dasyuromorphia; Dasyuridae. The record is from RNAcentral.